UUCUCAGGUACAGAAAGCCACAGCCAGGAAGAUGCUCCCAAUAGAAGAGUGCAAACAUCUCUGCGGUGGCCAAUAUGGAUGACAGUUUUUGUGAGCACAUACCAAUAUGUGUAUAUAAUAGGUUCUGCAAUAGGGGUACCAAGACCAAGGAUAUAUACGAUUUAAAACAUGAUAGUUCUUGGCAAGUUGUCUCCCACCAAGCUCUCAUUUGGAUUCAGUGCUCUUCAGACCUGUGAAGGCAGGAUCAUCUGAUGUCUGAUACCUCACACAGCACCAGCAGUACCCAGGACUUCUGUGGAUACAGAACUGGAGCCUUGCCUGGACCUGCUGAACUCGAAUCUAUGCCUGCCACUUCCCUGGGUGAUUCACAUGAGUGCUGGAGUGUGGGAAGCAACAAGCCAUUGUAAACCAGCAAGUGUGCAAUGUCAUUCUUUUUUC
Molecule: long non-coding RNA, 438 nt
Filed under: Mus spicilegus (steppe mouse)
Lineage: Eukaryota; Metazoa; Chordata; Mammalia; Rodentia; Muridae
Description: lncRNA (ENSMSIG00000023457.1)
Source: RNAcentral